Molecule: transfer RNA, 72 nt
Filed under: bacterium
Lineage: Bacteria
Description: tRNA-Ile
Rfam family: tRNA
About the family: Transfer RNA (tRNA) molecules are approximately 80 nucleotides in length. Their secondary structure includes four short double-helical elements and three loops (D, anti-codon, and T loops).
Source: RNAcentral
GCGCCUGUAGCUCAGUGGUAGAGCGUUCGUCUUAUACACGAAUGGUCCCUGGUUCGAUCCCAGGCGGGCGCA